UUUGGAUUAUGGCUCAGAUUGAACGCUGGCGGCAGGCCUAACACAUGCAAGUCGAGCGGAUGACGGGAGCUUGCUCCUUGAUUCAGCGGCGGACGGGUGAGUAAUGCCUAGGAAUCUGCCUGGUAGUGGGGGACAACGUUUCGAAAGGAACGCUAAUACCGCAUACGUCCUACGGGAGAAAGCAGGGGACCUUCGGGCCUUGCGCUAUCAGAUGAGCCUAGGUCGGAUUAGCUAGUUGGUGGGGUAAUGGCUCACCAAGGCGACGAUCCGUAACUGGUCUGAGAGGAUGAUCAGUCACACUGGAACUGAGACACGGUCCAGACUCCUACGGGAGGCAGCAGUGGGGAAUAUUGGACAAUGGGCGAAAGCCUGAUCCAGCCAUGCCGCGUGUGUGAAGAAGGUCUUCGGAUUGUAAAGCACUUUAAGUUGGGAGGAAGGGCAGUAAGYUAAUACCUUGCUGUUUUGACGUUACCGACAGAAUAAGCACCGGCUAACUCUGUGCCAGCAGCCGCGGUAAUACAGAGGGUGCAAGCGUUAAUCGGAAUUACUGGGCGUAAAGCGCGCGUAGGUGGUUUGUUAAGUUGGAUGUGAAAGCCCCGGGCUCAACCUGGGAACUGCAUCCAAAACUGGCAAGCUAGAGUACGGUAGAGGGUGGUGGAAUUUCCUGUGUAGCGGUGAAAUGCGUAGAUAUAGGAAGGAACACCAGUGGCGAAGGCGACCACCUGGACUGAUACUGAC
RNAcentral lists this ribosomal RNA (738 nucleotides) under Pseudomonas sp. 120516_NH_C1_F2. RNAcentral's name for it is "bacterial SSU rRNA". It matches the Rfam family "Bacterial small subunit ribosomal RNA", at positions 12 to 744 of the family's 1533-position model. Lineage: Bacteria; Pseudomonadati; Pseudomonadota; Gammaproteobacteria; Pseudomonadales; Pseudomonadaceae. The record is from RNAcentral.